This 352-nucleotide unclassified non-coding RNA is filed under the name Hevea brasiliensis (rubber tree). The record is from RNAcentral. Lineage: Eukaryota; Viridiplantae; Streptophyta; Magnoliopsida; Malpighiales; Euphorbiaceae.
AUAGGAUUUAACUCAUAUUACCUGAUUCCAAAGAAAAAAAUCUACCUACACCAAGCCCUUCACUCCUACACCUGGAAAAUAAACCUAAAGCCAUCAUCAUCCCCCACUCAGUUUCCAUCAAAAUGUCAGACCCUAAACACUCUCUAAUGUUCCACAUGUGAGAAAAGAUGUAUCAUCUCUUCAUACUCAAUUGCAUUGCUCUCCCUAUAGCUGUACAGAUGGUUGGUUUGGCUCCAAACCGAACUCCAGGAAUACGAGCCCAUGUAUGAACCACCAAACUGAAAAAAUUCAAUACAAUUGAAUUUGUUGAUUUUGGGCAUUUUUAAUCAAGAAGAUCAAGCAGUUGCUUCCU